AUUUGGGAGUAUUCCUUAUCACAAAUCUUAUGAAAGUGCACGUAAAGAUGGGCUUUGGCAAUGCUAACUUUUCUACUGAUUAUUUGCAAGCUGGAAUUCCUACUGAUAAUGGGAGUGAAAACAGAGGGCAACUUGAAGAAAGGGCUUUAGGGCAUUGUGAAUAACAAGCAAACAUCAGUGAGUACAAGGGAAGAAAACUACUCUGGAAGAGAAAUGGUCUGCUAAGGGGAAUUUUCUCACCUUUUGCUGCAGAAUGGAGAGAAAGGGGAAAUGCCAACACUGUUAAGAACUGAGAGAAGGAAGGUAAAAAGGCUGCUGGGACCUCUGCUACCCUCCCUCAAAUCAGGAUUGCAGUGUUUAUGGGCAUCCAGGAGGCAGUUCUUGUGCCUGGCAGGCCCUGUUGGGACUGAUCUAAAAGGAGCAGAAAACACAUUUUACAAGGCAAGUGCGAUCAGCUGCAUCCCAAACCAGUCAGUGAAUUAUUUAGAAAGAGUUAGACUAAAGAGUUGUAGGCUGGUUUUAUACAACUAUUAGUUGCAUGCAAUUCUGUGGACUUGUUUAAACACAGGAAAUAUGUUAAGGACCUCAAGUUUGUGCACUCUAGUUGGAAACACAAAUCAGGCCUAUUUUCCACUGUGUGUUCUGAUACUUGUUAAGAUAUACUUUUCAACUUAGCGUUAGGUAAACACUAAAUAACUGUUAUCAAUGCACAUAAGCAAAAACAAACAUGUAUCAUUUAGAAACAAGACACAAAGAUUUAACAAAAUGCAUUUAAUAAAUUCAUUUUGUUUACAACGAAACAAAUAACUCACUAAUUUUUAAUAGACUUUUUGGUGGGUAAAAGGCUUUUUGAGACCCCUGCUGACAGCAGAGGAGAACUGCAUCCAGGUGUUCAUUACUAGAAACUCAAUACAUAAUUCUCCUCAUUAGCAGAGACAUCUUAAAUAUAUGUCAGUUUUGAGAUGUGGAAGAUAUAUUACCAUAAGAUAAACAUAUACAUGUGAAUUACUGAAAAGAAACCUAUUUACAUAGGGCUUUCUUUUUGCCUUAAGGUUUAUAGUUCUCUUAAAAUUGCUACACGUGUUACAUAAUUUCAAAUUUGUAUUUUGGUUUAUCUUUUAACAGCAUGAAAACUACACAACUCUUUAGAAACAUACCUAUUGCAAGAACAAGCAUACUUAGGAUUUUCAAAGAGGUGGUAUUCUAAUAAAAAAUAACAAUACUAAUUUUACAUGAAAAAUGCAUGUAUUUCAACAAUUUUAUCAAGGGCAUAUUUUGUGCUAGAUACUACUCUAUGUGUUAGAAAUAUAAACAACGGUAUAAGAUGCUUUCAGAUUGCAGUAAGUGGAAAAAAAUAUAACACGGAAAGGAAAAAGAGUAAUGAGAAGGUAACUACACAGGGGAGUGAUCAGGGAUUGCUUCACUGAAGUUGUAAAAUGUAAACUGAAACUAUAUCCUGAUUUUAAAAAUAGCCUUGUAGAUGUUUUAGGUAAAGAGCAGCAAGCAAACAAUGCCAAAGUUAAGAGCAGAGGGUAAUCAUGUAAACACAAAGGUUGUAUAUAAUAGAAAUCAUGUGUGGCUCAGCUUCCACUAGGUAACCAAGUUGGGUCUUUGUGUUCUCCUCUCUUAAAGGAAUCUAGGUGUGUUAAAAAAAAUAUCAGACAAAAAAAACUUUACAACAGUCCUUAGGCUACCUUUAAACCUGCGACUAGUUUCUGAACUUCUUUUAAAUAGCAGUCUCAGAAAAUUAUUGAAGACUGUACCUACUCAAAGGUUUUUCUGAUAAUACGAAAAACAUACACUGAUAUACUAUGUGAAAGGCCUAUGUAUAGUAGAUGCUCAGUAAUUUUUCAUUAUUCUUUCCUUUGUUUCAAGGGUUUUCUGGGCCUCACCUGGCUAGUAAUUCUCAGCUCAGCUGUGACAGUCAAUGGGAGGUAGUGGAGUAAUGAUGUCCAGAGGGCAGGCAGGCGGCUAAGUGUGAAGUUGAGUUAGAAAUACCCAAGAACAAAGAUGCCACUUAGUCCUCUUUGUAAACCCCAGGUCUAACAUGGGGCCUGACACAGAGUAAGGAUAAAUAAAAAUGAGACUCAGAAAUAACUAGCUCUGGGUAAUCGACAUAAGGUAUUAUACGGCCCUCAAGUCAUGUGAAAAAAUGAUCAAGACUUAAUGAUUUCAAUGGCUCCCAAACACUAACGAUCUGUGAGGCUGUCAUUUCAUUGUUUUGU
Molecule: long non-coding RNA, 2225 nt
Organism: Sapajus apella (tufted capuchin)
Lineage: Eukaryota; Metazoa; Chordata; Mammalia; Primates; Cebidae
Exons: 3
Source: RefSeq, a predicted model, not a curated record